This 253-nucleotide ribosomal RNA is filed under the name uncultured bacterium. RNAcentral's name for it is "partial 16S ribosomal RNA". It matches the Rfam family "Bacterial small subunit ribosomal RNA", at positions 524 to 776 of the family's 1533-position model. The record is from RNAcentral.
UACAGAGGGUGCGAGCGUUGUUCGGAAUUAUUGGGCGUAAAGGGCGCGUAGGCGGUGCGGUAAGUCACCUGUGAAAUCUCCUGGCUCAACCGGGAGCUUGCAGGCGAAACUGCCGUGCUGGAGUAUGGGAGAGGUGCGUGGAAUUCCUGGUGUAGCGGUGAAAUGCGUAGAUAUCAGGAGGAACACCUGUGGCGAAAGCGGCGCACUGGACCAUAACUGACGCUGAGGCGCGAAAGCUAGGGGAGCAAACAGG